ACUUCUCCAGGAGGCGUGGUUUAGCGUCCCCAUUUUCUCCUACCACUCUUGCCCGGGACAUGGCGACUCCCGGCCGUCUGACUCCGGGGGCACCCAUUGAUCCAUCGCAACCCCCAGUCAUUGAGGGCUUUACCCCCAGUGUCUACAGUAGUACGGAAACCUUCAAGGAAAAGUUCAUUCGCAAGACCCGCGAGAACCCAAUGGUACCCAUAGGCUGCCUGGGCACGGCGGCCGCCCUUACCUACGGCCUCUAUUGCUUCCACCGGGGUCAGAGCCAGCGCUCCCAGCUCAUGAUGCGCACCCGGAUCGCCGCCCAGGGCUUCACGGUCGCAGCCAUCUUGCUGGGUCUAGCUGCAUCCGCUCUUAAGUCUCGAUCCUGAGCCCGCGGUCUGGCCUUGAAAGCUCCGCCGAGAUCAUUCCCAGCCCCGGGAGCAGCCACCGGUCCUGCCACAGGACUUAAUCCCUCAUCCCUUCUGAUAAACCCCUGUAUCAAUGGAGGAGGAAGCGGCGAAUUGACUAACCGACAGAUUUUUUUCCAGGAGUCUCAGACCAAUUAACAAUGGAUUGCGGACCGCAGUUUGGAUACCCCUGAUAUAGAGCCUCAAAGGAGUUCCUAGUCUGUGGUCAGCUCAGAAGUGUUGAUUUGGAGCCAGAUUCCUUCCAUGUGUGACUCCCAUCAGUUUCAACACAAGCUGCAAGCGGCCAGAAGGGAAAAAUGGGAGUGAAGAAGACACACCCCCUUCGCGGGCACCCUGACAGUCUGGAUUGGGGUUUCCCGUCAGAUCUCAGGAAUUUUUUUCGCUUUCCCGUUCCGGAAUCCCGAGAUACAAACUGUUUUCUGUUCUCCAUGAUGAAUUGUUUCCGCAAAGUGACGCGGCCGAUACUACCAACCACCUGGGUUCGAUUUUCCAGAUUUCCUGACCAACUUUUCUCGGGAUUCGGGUACAGAAAAGCGAAAAAAAAUUCCCGAGAACGGGCGCGGGAAUCCCACCCGGAAACCCGAGUCUGGAUUUCUAAAUGGAGGCAUGUAUGACUAGGGCCAGCUAAGUUUCUUAUUCCCACCACGGUCUCUCAUCUGUAAGGCACAGAUUAUGAAUAUAAAGCAGUAUAUUGUGGUGACCUUUGGCCUCAAGACAGAGUGGUGAAGACUAUGGAACUUCUAAAGAGGAUAGUCACUAUUCUUUAAUGGUAAGCAUUAUUAUGUGUUCCCACCCUCCAAGAAAAAUAUGUUGAAGUCCCCUCCCCAGUACGUCAGAUGUCCUUACUUGGAAGUAGCAUCUCUACAAAGGUAAUCAAAUUAAAAUGAGGUCAUUAAGGUAGACCCUACUCCAAUAAGACCGACUGGUGUCAUUAAAAGGGAACUUGCACAGACAGACAUGCACAGAGGACAGGCGAUGUGAAGAUGGCGAUGUAAAGAUUAACUCAAGAUUGUAGUGAUGCACCUACAAGCCCAGGAACCCCCGAAGUUGCCAGAAGUUAGAAAAGAAGUCUGCAACAGAUCCUUCCCUGGUGCCUUCAGAGGCCCAUUUGGAGCCAGAUUCCUUCCAUGUGCUGACGCCUUGUCUUCAGACUUCUGACCCCCAGAAUGGUUAGACAAUAAAUUUCUGUUGUUCUAAGCCACACACUGGUGCUUUGUUACGACAGCGCUAGGAAACUAAUAUGGUUGGCAAUUACUCAAAUUUUUUAAACAUGUACAGGUCACGAUAUUUUGAAUGUAGCCUGUUUGCAACCUCUGCUGAAGGGGAAGAGGUGUGGUCCCUGAUGGUUUAUCCCAAAUCCACAGAGGGGCACAGAGGAAGGAUGCAAAGCCGUGGGCUCCCCAAAUCCAGAGGUUUCUGGCCAAUCCCAAGGAAGGGGGUCUGGCAGAGGCUCCCUGUCACCCAGGCUGAGACGGAGCCUCCACUGGGAACCUCUGGUCUCACCUCUCCCACCCUCGAAGCCUCUUACCCUCUGGGAGUUUAGGUGUCUGUGGUAUAUGAUGAGGACAAUAGAAUCCCCAUCACACAGGCUUGUUCAAAGAUCAGAAAGGAUCAAACUUGCAAACAAAUUCUGUGAGAGGUUGUCAUUCCUCCUUCGAGGAGAUGUAGAGAAAGCA
RNA transcript from Rhinolophus ferrumequinum (greater horseshoe bat), 2095 nucleotides. It is a transcript of the gene named HIG1 hypoxia inducible domain family member 2A, with no coding region annotated. The transcript is spliced from 3 exons. The record is from RefSeq and is a predicted model, not a curated record. Lineage: Eukaryota; Metazoa; Chordata; Mammalia; Chiroptera; Rhinolophidae.